RNAcentral lists this ribosomal RNA (497 nucleotides) under uncultured bacterium. Its description in RNAcentral is "partial 16S ribosomal RNA". It matches the Rfam family "Bacterial small subunit ribosomal RNA", at positions 28 to 507 of the family's 1533-position model. The record is from RNAcentral.
GAUGGACGCUGGCGGCGUGCCUAAUACAUGCAAGUCGAGCGAACGGACGAGAAGCUUGCUUUUCUGAUGUUAGCGGCGGACGGGUGAGUAACACGUGGAUAACCUACCUAUAAGACUGGGAUAACUUCGGGAAACCGGAGCUAAUACCGGAUAAUAUUUUGAACCGCAUGGUUCAAAAGUGAAAGACGGUCUUGCUGUCACUUAUAGAUGGAUCCGCGCUGCAUUAGCUAGUUGGUAAGGUAACGGCUUACCAAGGCAACGAUGCAUAGCCGACCUGAGAGGGUGAUCGGCCACACUGGAACUGAGACACGGUCCAGACUCCUACGGGAGGCAGCAGUAGGGAAUCUUCCGCAAUGGGCGAAAGCCUGACGGAGCAACGCCGCGUGAGUGAUGAAGGUCUUCGGAUCGUAAAACUCUGUUAUUAGGGAAGAACAUAUGUGUAAGUAACUGUGCACAUCUUGACGGUACCUAAUCAGAAAGCCACGGCUAACUACGUG